CCUACGGGAGGCAGCAGUGAGGAAUAUUGGUCAAUGGACGAGAGUCUGAACCAGCCAAGUAGCGUGAAGGAUGACUGCCCUAUGGGUUGUAAACCUCUUUUAUAUGGGAAUAAAAUGUUCCACGUGUGGGAUUCUGUUUGUACCAUAUGAAUAAGCAUCGGCUAACUCCGUGCCAGCAGCCGCGGUAAUACGGAGGAUCCGAGCGUUAUCCGGAUUUAUUGGGUUUAAAGGGAGCGUAGGUGGAAUGUUAAGUCCGGUGUGAAAGUUUGCGGAUCAACCGUAAAAUUGCAGUUGAAACUGGCAGUCGUGAGUACAGUAGAGGUGGGCGGAAUGCGUGGUGUAGCGGUGAAAUGCUUAGAUAUCACGAAGAACUCCGAUUGCGAAGGCAGCUCACUGGCCUGCAACUGACACUGAGGCUCGAAAGUGUGGGUAUCAAACAGGAUUAGAUACCCCCGUAGUC
RNAcentral lists this ribosomal RNA (460 nucleotides) under uncultured bacterium. RNAcentral describes it as "partial 16S ribosomal RNA". It matches the Rfam family "Bacterial small subunit ribosomal RNA", at positions 338 to 795 of the family's 1533-position model. The record is from RNAcentral.